Schizosaccharomyces pombe (fission yeast) is the source of this 262-nucleotide non-coding RNA. Lineage: Eukaryota; Fungi; Ascomycota; Schizosaccharomycetes; Schizosaccharomycetales; Schizosaccharomycetaceae. The record is from the annotation of a GenBank genome assembly.
UAUUGGGACUCAUCUGCCAUGCUAUAACUAUCAUGAACUUCCUUUUCAACGUCCUUCUUCGUUAACGCAUCAUUACGCUUGAACUCAAGUUGAUUUUGUUCAUCUUCCAUAGCAUCAUAGUGGUGGAAGCAAACCCAAAACAUAAUACCAGCAAUAAAGGCAGUGACGGCAAUACCAGUGUACAUCCAAGUAAGCUUAGGAUUGACAGCAGUAGAAGAAAUGCAAAUAGAUAGAAUGGCACCGAAUGCAUUGGUGAACAAGA